Molecule: ribosomal RNA, 498 nt
Filed under: uncultured bacterium
Lineage: Bacteria
Description: partial 16S ribosomal RNA
Rfam family: Bacterial small subunit ribosomal RNA
Source: RNAcentral
GAUGAACGCUAGCUACAGGCUUAACACAUGCAAGUCGAGGGGUAGCAGGGUAGCAAUACCGCUGACGACCGGCGCACGGGUGAGUAACACGUAUCCGACCUGCCCAUAACUCGGGGAUAGCCUUUCGAAAGAAAGAUUAAUACCCGAUAGUACCUUAUUAAGGCAUCUUAAGAAAGGUAAAGAUUUAUUGGUUAUGGGUGGGGAUGCGUUCCAUUAGACAGUUGGUGAGGUAACGGCUCACCAAGUCUUCGAUGGAUAGGGGCUCUGAGAGGAAGGUCCCCCACAUUGGUACUGAGACACGGACCAAACUCCUACGGGAGGCAGCAGUGAGGAAUAUUGGUCAAUGGGCGAGAGCCUGAACCAGCCAAGUAGCGUGAAGGAUGAAGGUCCUAUGGAUUGUAAACUUCUUUUAUAGUAGAAUAAAGUGAACCACGCGUGGUUUUUUGUAUGUAUACUAUGAAUAAGGAUCGGCUAACUCCGUGCCAGCCGCCGCCGUAA